This is a long non-coding RNA of Brassica napus (rape), 1212 nucleotides long. RefSeq lists it as uncharacterized. The transcript is spliced from 4 exons. Lineage: Eukaryota; Viridiplantae; Streptophyta; Magnoliopsida; Brassicales; Brassicaceae. The record is from RefSeq and is a predicted model, not a curated record.
UGCUCUUCCAAUCGUCCCAACGAGUAUCUACUUUCCGUGAAGGGUUGGUCUGAUUCAACCAACAAGAUUGUGGGCAUUAAAUUCAUAACCAACACAAAGACUUCAGAGUGUUAUGGAUUUGAAAAAACUCCUGGAGAAGAAGGUACAGAUAUUUCACUUGAAGUAAAAGACAAGAAGAUCGCCGGUUUUCAUGGCUUCGCUGACUCCCAAGUCAAUUCUCUUGGUGCUUAUUUCGCUCCAGUCGCCAGCUGAAAAAUUUGUUGGGUUCGUUUCUUGAUUUCUCUAUGAAUAAGGCUACAUAAGAGCCAUACUUGUGGAUUUCCGGAUGGGGAACACAACUAAAAGAGCUAAACAAGAACCAAACAAGAAACUUUACGUACCGUACCAGCGAGAGAAACGACCAUCAGAAAACAAAGCAAGCAAUGUGUAACCAAAACAGUAAAGAGUUAGAUUUAAAUUUUUAAACUUACAUGUAAAGCUUUUUAAUCGCUCAGCUAGUCAGCUCUGAAUUAAAGGUUUUUUUUUGAGUGUUUUAAUUUUGGUUGGAUUUAGGUGAGAUUUGAAGUUAUCUGAGUGAUUUUAGUAAAACUUAAAAAAUGAAAAAUGAAAUCUAUAGGUGAUUUGGUGUGAUAUUUUCUAAAAAUUUCAAAGUUGUUUCAGUGAUUUGAAAUGAUAAUAUUUUUUUGUCUGCACUUUUUUUGUUUUUUUAUCACACAUGCUUUGUAAAGAUACGCUCAUUACUAAUACCAACUAUCAAGAGGCUUAAAAAAAGAGGAGACGUGCAACCAAGAAGCCAUACUCUAGAGGUCAAUCGGUGGCGGCGACAGUUUGGAGAUCAUUCAAAAAAAGCGAGCAGGAAAGACUGAUGUUCGUAAAAUAAAAAAAAAAAGAAAAAAAAAGACUGAUGUUCGUGAUGCAGCCAGAAAGCUGCUCUACGGAUAGGACGGAGAUAGUCAAGAAGACCAUAAACGAGAAUAAGGCAAAGAAAGUCGAGUUUGCUUCCAAGAAACAAAAGUCUCAAGCGAAAGGUAUAUUCUGCAGAAAGUGAUGUUCGUUUUUCCUAUGAUUUUGUACUUGUUACAACCGCAAGUUUCUCUUUCGUUGAUGAAAUUGUAAGUCAGCUAGAAUCACUGCAACCUUGUAUCUUACCAGUGUAACCAACACACGAACAACAUUUUCGUCUCAGCAAGAAGAUUUAAAUCAUUCACAGCA